AAAUCCAUUAUGACUGAAUGACUAACUCAAAGAUUCAAGAAAUUAUUAUUUAGUUCGUAAAUUACUCAAAACUCUUAAUACUUGAAAUUCCUCAGCUUGUUACAAUCUUCAAUUAAUUGUUUAAUAAGACAAAGAAGAUGAACUCCAAUCAGUAAAGUUUCCUUCUCAUGUAUAAUCUGGUUGAUUCAGCUCUUUUAGAAGGAAGGCAAAACUAAUUUAGGAUGCUGCCCUUAAAUGCUCAGGCCCACUCACGUAGUCUCCCUAGUUCUGACGUCUUAACAUCAGUGGGGAACACUUGAGAAGAUUAGAUGGCAGAAGAGAGAAGGCAGUGGGCCUUGAGAGCAGCAGCUAAGGAGCCUCUCUUGCUCUCUUGAAGAGAGAAGUGUCACCUGGAAAGAGAAACAGGGAGCUGGUAGUCUCAGCGUUUUCCAGAGGAUACCGACUUUUGAGGCAAUGGCCCAGAGUGGCCACAUGUGUCUUGAAUAAUCGAAAUAACCUUUGCCUUUCACCGGGAGCCUCUUAAAGAUCAGAGAAACCAAGGAAGUAAUUUCAAGAUAUAAGAGGAAGUCAACAGGAUCACAUAUACUAAAAGAUGUCAAGGAAAUAAAGAGAGAAAAACUUCCAUUGGAUUUGUGCGGGAGCCUUGAACAAACACGUGUGCUACACGACACACCAGUUCUGGAGCUCCUUCUUGUGUUCUUCCCAAUAACCCCGCCCUGUGUGAAUAUGAAGCAUCAUAUACCUAUAAGCUUGAUGAGCAGUGUGUAUGUCCACGCGUAGGAUCUGAACCUGUGAACCCCAGGCUGCCAAAGAAGAGUGUGUGAACUUAACCACUAUGCCACUGGGCUGGCCCAAAGGCCUUCUGUUUUUAAGAGCGUCUCUCAGAGUUUAUACUGUUAUUUUGAAGAUGCUGGUUCUUAAUCCACCUACAAUGUGGGAUGACAGGGCUGGAGGAUGAGGACAAUUGCUGUCUACUUGCAAGAUAACUGCCUCAGGCAUCACUUGCUAUUUCUGAGGAUGACGUGAGUAAGGAAAACAAGGACAGAAGGCUAGGCCUGUUAUCUUUGAUGUGAUGGCAAGGAAGACUUCUCAGAAUAGUUGGCAUUUAAAUGGAAACUAGAAGUCUAUGUGUGUGUGCAUACAAACAUGGGGUAGGUUUUAGGAAUGACACCAGUCUUUCUUUUUUCUUUCUUCCUUCCUUUCUCCCUUCUUUCUCUUUUGCGGCAUCUCUGGAGACCAUAUGCUGAAGGUGGAAGCAUCAUAAGAUGGAAUUUUUUGGCAUCUUUGUAUAACUUCUUGAAGAGAGAGCUUCCCUAUAAUGAAGAACUAUAUUGACUGUGACAUGAAAAAUAAACAGUUUUUACUUUGUUUUAAUCCACUUAAAACAAAACAGAGCAUUUAGCCUGUUGGUUUCAUGAAGAUUUGGGGUUUAUCAGGAAACAACACUACAAGGGAACAAAAAAAUGUGGGCAUAAGCAAUAAAGUGAUCAUCGUGAUAGAAAUUUAGGUUGGAUAAGAACAGGUGGUAUUGAUGGAUAGUUAGAAAGUGACAGUGUCGAUAUAUUUACAACAUUGACAAGUAAAAGGGUUGUGAGACUAUUUGCCCAAGUGAGAAGAAAAGAAUGGAAUGCUGUUUUAAAGUAUGUGUUUGAUAUCAAGAGUUGAUGGGCUGUUCAUUUUCUUGCAAUCUCAAGAUGGAAGGUGUGCUCAUAGAAGUGAAUGAUUGAUGAGAUAUAAAGGAAACAUAAAAUCACCAACUAUGAGAUCGACAAACUAAGGGGCCAAAGGUUUAUGAAGGACCAUUUAAAAGAAUUCAAUUCAUCCAUUCCAACAUUUUAAAUAUUCUAGUUUUAUUAGUAGAUAAAGCCAGAAUAGCAGAAAACUCCUAUUGGAACUCUCUGGAACUUCUUCUCUUUACAUUUUACAGAAUUACUUUU
This 1937-nucleotide long non-coding RNA is filed under the name Equus caballus (horse). Its description in RNAcentral is "lncRNA (ENSECAG00000043978.1)". Lineage: Eukaryota; Metazoa; Chordata; Mammalia; Perissodactyla; Equidae. The record is from RNAcentral.